GACACUUUGGCCGAGUGGUUAAGGCGCAGGCCUGCUAAGCCUGUGGGUUCGCCCGCCUGGUUAGUAACAUCGUCAUUAUAAAGUGUCAACUUUCUCUAACAAUUCCCAAUAGGGUUCGAAUCCCAGAGGUGUCG
Molecule: non-coding RNA, 134 nt
Organism: Aspergillus lentulus
Lineage: Eukaryota; Fungi; Ascomycota; Eurotiomycetes; Eurotiales; Aspergillaceae
Source: Rfam